Non-coding RNA from Oryza sativa Japonica Group (Japanese rice), 385 nucleotides. The record is from RefSeq and is a predicted model, not a curated record. Lineage: Eukaryota; Viridiplantae; Streptophyta; Magnoliopsida; Poales; Poaceae.
AAUUAUUAACGUUGUAAGCCCAUGAGGAGAGUCGAAUCCAGAUCAAUCUUUUCUCUUCUCGACUUCUCGUAUGCCGCGUCCCGUCGCCGCCAUUCUUGACGACUCCGCCUCGCGUCUGUUUGGCUUCCAUGCCGCUGCUCUGCAAUCAGCCACAUUGUGCGUUAGUAGAGACAAGAAUUAGGAGGCCAGUAGGGUUCAAUUUGGAAUCCUUCAUAAUUGGAAUAAAAUUGCAGAUUGGGGGAAAAUUUGAGAAUUGAGUUGAAGGUGCUAUUUGGAUGUUAAUUGAUGGAACGAUUUUACAAAAGGAAAGUGCCAGAGCCGAAUAGUGCUAACAAUGCAUGUAAUUCAUGUUUGGAUGAUAUAAACUGAGGAAGAUAGAGAUUAC